CCGCUGACCCUGGCAUAAGUGGGAGGUGUUCCCGGGCCUCAACUGCUUCUACUGUGGAGGCCGGCUCAUGCUGGCAGGCCACGGUGGCUUCUUCGCUCACGCUGCUGCUCAUAUUCAGCACCACCAUCCUCUUCUCCGUCUUCGACUGUCCCUAUCUGGCCCGCACACUGACCCUGGCCAUCCCCAUCAUCGCUGCCAUCCUUUUCUUCUUCUUCAUCAUGAGCUGUCUCCUGCAGACCAGUUUCACUGACCCUGGCAUCUUACCCCGUGCCACCAUCUAUGAGGCCGCUGCCCUGGAGAAGCAGAUUGAUAACACUGGCAGCUCCACAUACCGACCGCCCCCUCGGACUCGGGAAGUGAUGAUCAACGGACAGAUGGUGAAGCUCAAGUAUUGCUUCACCUGUAAGAUGUUUCGGCAACCCCGGACCUCACACUGCAGUGUCUGCGACAACUGUGUGGACCGGUUUGACCAUCACUGCCCAUGGGUGGGCAACUGUGUGGGGAGACGGAAUUACCGGUUCUUUUAUGCAUUUAUUCUCUCCCUCUCCUUCCAGACGGCCUUCAUCUUCGCCUGUGUGGUCACCCACCUGACCCUGCUUUCUCAAGGAAGCAACUUCCUCUCCGCUCUAAAAAAGGCACCAGCAAGUGUGCUGGAGUUGGUAAUCUGCUUCUUCUUAAUCUGGUCCAUCCUGGGCCUCUCAGGCUUCCACACGUACCUCGUGGCCUCCAACCUGACAACUAAUGAAGACAUCAAAGGGUCUUGGUCCAGGAAGAGGGGUGGUGAGGCCUCUGUCAACCCCUACAGCCAUAGAAGUAUUAUCACCAACUGCUGUGCUGUGCUCUGUGGCCCAUUGCCUCCCAGCCUGAUUGACCGGCGAGGAUUCAUGCAGUCUGAUACGGUGUUGCCCUCACCCAUCAGAAGGGAUGAGCCAGCCUGUGGAACCAAGCCAGACGCCACCAUGGUAGGAGGCCACCCCUGA
Mastomys coucha (southern multimammate mouse) is the source of this 980-nucleotide RNA transcript. It is a transcript of the gene named palmitoyltransferase ZDHHC18 pseudogene, with no coding region annotated. Lineage: Eukaryota; Metazoa; Chordata; Mammalia; Rodentia; Muridae. The record is from RefSeq and is a predicted model, not a curated record. The transcript has a single exon.